UUCACAUCACACACUGACAACAUGCUGGGGACACUCUGCACUCUCAUCACUGCUCUAACAUACUCUACCCUCCCUCCGCCUGUCUUGACCAUCUUCCCUCCGUCCAGCGAUGAGUUGAAGUCCAGCAAAGUCACCCUGGUGUGUCUGGCCAGUCAGAUGGCCAUGGGCUACGCUGUUGUCAGCUGGACCGCGGGAGGGAAUCCGGUCACCGGCGGCAUCGCUACGAGUGGCCCGGUGCCGCAAGCCGACAAGACGUUCCAACUCAGCAGCUGUCUGACCGUUGACACGUCAGAAUGGAACCAGGACAAAGUGUUCUCAUGUAAAGUCACCGCGGGCUCCAAGUUCGCUGAGAAAGACAUCAAGAAGUCUGUAUGCAGCACUGAAUAGCCUGAGAACCAUUGUAAUAUCCAGUUGAUUUUCUACAUCACAUUUCAAGAUAUUGUUAAUGCAUUAGAAGUUUAACCUGCAUAUAUACAUUAUGUUCCAUGAAAGAUAAAUAGCUAAUCACACUGAUAUCAUAGGCUAUAUGAUAAGUAGAAUUUUUAUAUUUGAAAUGGGUUGCUUUGCAGAUGUAUAAUAGAGGAAUUGUUAGAGCUUUGCUGUAUUGUGGAUAUUAAAUAAAGAACAUUCUAAAGAACAA
Non-coding RNA from Salvelinus fontinalis (brook trout), 640 nucleotides. The record is from the annotation of a RefSeq genome assembly. NCBI's taxonomy places the organism in Eukaryota, Metazoa, Chordata, Actinopteri, Salmoniformes, Salmonidae.